CCUAGUACGUGCAAUGCUAAAUCAACAAUUAUUAUUAUUAUAAAUAAUUUCUUAAUAAACUAAUGCACUGUACGCGUAAAUAUAGAUAUGACUCCAUUUUCUAGAAAAAAAGACCCACUUCAAUUUUGACAAAACCUAUUGUUUUAAUUUUAAAACUAACUACUGAAUCGAUUUUGAUUAAAUUUCUAUCGGAUCAAUCUGAAGGUCUUUCAAAUAAAAAAAAAAUCCAAUCCUAAUAUAAGGUGACAAAUAUAAACAAAAAAAAAUAUAUCACCGAAUUAAGAACCUCUUUCUUUGCAUUCGGUUGAAAAGUUGUACAAAAACACCACACAAAAACCGCACCUCUUAUAACUUGUACCAAAUUCAAUUCCGUAUCGGGCAAAGACGAAACCCUAACGAGUUUUAUAAACGAAAGACUAUUAGAGCAAUUAUCGCUCAAGAAUUAUUAUUCCAUCUACUUCCUUACUAACACACAACAAAUAUACUGUUUAGUAACACGACAGCUUCGUUAGUGAACGUUACCGCAUGCAUUUUGUAAUGUAAAUUGUGUAAUUAGUAAAUUACGCACGGUUCCAGAUAAAUUUCUAAAAGCGGUUUUCCCCGAACAUGAAACUCCGCAAUUUCUAGAAUAAUCACGCGAGAAGUCCAAUGAAGUAUUGUUAUAACGGAUUGGAUUCUUCAAUAAAUUGACAUCAAUAAAAAUGAUAUUUAUAACAGUAAAAGAAUGUUAGAUUAAUUAAAUUCCAAGCCUUCUCUGCCUCGACCUCUAGUACCAACUUAAUACGACAAAUAUAACUAGA
Galleria mellonella (greater wax moth) is the source of this 800-nucleotide long non-coding RNA. RefSeq lists it as uncharacterized. NCBI's taxonomy places the organism in Eukaryota, Metazoa, Arthropoda, Insecta, Lepidoptera, Pyralidae. The transcript has 3 exons. The record is from RefSeq and is a predicted model, not a curated record.